This is a long non-coding RNA of Amphimedon queenslandica, 769 nucleotides long. RefSeq lists it as uncharacterized. Lineage: Eukaryota; Metazoa; Porifera; Demospongiae; Haplosclerida; Niphatidae. The transcript is spliced from 3 exons. The record is from RefSeq and is a predicted model, not a curated record.
UUUGCAGCAACUGCAUUAAUCAAGAAGCCUACAUCCAUUCCUGAAACAUUGUCACUGCUAGUGUGUAGAAUAUUAGAAGGGUCUCCACCUGUUCCUGUUCACCAGUUUCCAAAGUUUUUUGAGAAAAUAACAACCAGGGAGCUCCCACUGAUUGAGUAUGGCUUCAGCACAGUUGAAGAGUUCCUAGCUUGCAUACCAGAGAUUAGUGUAAUUGAAGAUGAGAAGGAGGAGAAAGUUAUUAAAGUGACUCAGCCUGAAAAGUAAGCCAAGAGGGAGGAUGAAGUAGCUACUAAGGGAAAGACACUCUCGGAUACAUGUACUGCUAAAAAGCAUACUACACAAGCAGGAUGACAUAAGAUAUCUAAAGAACAAUCCCAAGUAGAAAGAGAGGGCACUCAGUGCAUAUGAACCAUAACAGCACUAGGGAUGUAGUCAAGAGAGCCAUUACAGUACUUGGCACAAAGCGCCAAAUGCUGUAUUGGCUGUUUCAUGUUGUAUAUUAACAUAAAAUUCAUAAUGUUUAAUAACUAUUAAUAGUGUGCUCACUGCUCAGUUUAAGUCUUAUGUAAAUAAAUAGUGUAUGUUUGAGUAUAGACAAUUAUAGAACGAGAGGGAGUAAUAGAGAGAGAACUUCUUUUUGUUUAUUCUGGCUGAUUUGUGCCCUCUGAUUUAUUUAUUAUUGUAAUCAAUUCUUGAAUUCAAUGCAUAACAUCUUGCAAGACUAAAGACUCAAUAUACAAUCUUUAUUUUAAUCUUGUUGAAAGAAAUA